This 270-nucleotide ribosomal RNA is filed under the name uncultured bacterium. RNAcentral's name for it is "partial 16S ribosomal RNA". It matches the Rfam family "Bacterial small subunit ribosomal RNA", at positions 29 to 315 of the family's 1533-position model. The record is from RNAcentral.
AACGAACGCUGGCGGCAUGCCUUAUACAUGCAAGUCGAACGCGAAAGCACUUUCGGGUGUUAGUAGAGUGGCAAACGGGUGAGUAACGCGUGGGAAUAUACCUUAUAGUACGGAAUAGCCUCGGGAAACUGGGAUUAAUACCGUAUACGCCCUCAGGGGGAAAGAUUUAUCGCUAUAAGAUUAGCCCGCGUCAGAUUAGCUUGUUGGUGGGGUAACGGCCUACCAAGGCAACGAUCUGUAGCUGGUCUGAGAGGAUGACCAGCCACAUUG